Molecule: ribosomal RNA, 496 nt
Filed under: uncultured bacterium
Lineage: Bacteria
Description: partial 16S ribosomal RNA
Rfam family: Bacterial small subunit ribosomal RNA
Source: RNAcentral
GACGAACGCUGGCGGCGUGCCUAAUACAUGCAAGUAGAACGCUGAAGCGAGGAGCUUGCUCUUCUUGGAUGAGUUGCGAACGGGUGAGUAACGCGUAGGUAACCUGCCUUGUAGCGGGGGAUAACUAUUGGAAACGAUAGCUAAUACCGCAUAACAAUAGGUGACACAUGUCAUUUAUUUGAAAGGGGCAAUUGCUCCACUACAAGAUGGACCUGCGUUGUAUUAGCUAGUAGGUGAGGUAACGGCUCACCUAGGCGACGAUACAUAGCCGACCUGAGAGGGUGAUCGGCCACACUGGGACUGAGACACGGCCCAGACUCCUACGGGAGGCAGCAGUAGGGAAUCUUCGGCAAUGGGGGCAACCCUGACCGAGCAACGCCGCGUGAGUGAAGAAGGUUUUCGGAUCGUAAAGCUCUGUUGUAAGUCAAGAACGAGUGUGAGAGUGGAAAGUUCACACUGUGACGGUAGCUUACCAGAAAGGGACGGCUAACUACGU